Long non-coding RNA from Bactrocera neohumeralis, 1202 nucleotides. RefSeq lists it as uncharacterized. The record is from RefSeq and is a predicted model, not a curated record. NCBI's taxonomy places the organism in Eukaryota, Metazoa, Arthropoda, Insecta, Diptera, Tephritidae. The transcript is spliced from 2 exons.
CGGCGGUUGUGAGACAUAGUUUCCGCAUUUCUUUAUUGCGUAAAACUGCAAUAGACAAAAGUUGACGCACACCGUGUCAUGCUGCAACAACAAAGCAACACAACUGGCGAUAUCUGUGCUGGCAGACUUGUUAGAACCUUGUUCGGCGUUGCUUACCCGAGCGCGUUAGAUGAAGCUAGCAAAAAAAUGAGUGAACACACACGCACACAGGCACACAGGCACAAGGCAUUAUAGCCACAAGCUGCCGUGGCAACAUUUUUCGCUGCUCCGCUUCUUUUAAUGGUGAAAUUAUGUUUUAGUUCGUUAACAAGCGCGCCGUGUUCACUUCACACGCGCAUACAGACGCAACAUAAUGUAACGGUGUUGCAAACAAAGCGAUGAAGGAAAUGUGAGGUACGAACUACAAACUGUGGCUGAAAAAACUAUCCUCAGUCGCGGUUGACGCCACAGUCGUGUUGCAAAAUAGUUUGUAGGCAGCAAAAGUGCGGGCGACAAGCGAAGGUUAUUGGGUAAGGCAACAAAGGCGGUACAAAGCCCGCCCACGGCCUACUACGUAACUGUAAAAUUCGGGAAUGCAAGCAAUGCCGCUGCCAAACUGCGCACAGCCGCGCUUACAGCAGGCAUUGCGAGGCGUUGAGCGAGAGCGGGACGCGGCGUGCGGCACUGCCCUGCAUUUGGCAUUCAUUCAAGCAGACGCCUAGCUAUGCUGUCACUGCCGCCCUCAUUUUCAACAGCUGUUGCCCGAAUUUUUGUGUUAAUUAGAAAAGUGGUGGCGCUGCAAGCACAAUUGGAAGAUGAUUUAUCUCGGCGAAUUUGUGCAAUUUAUUUGUUGAUAAGAAAAUAUUUCAUAUACUUUAUGAUGCCCGUGAUACCUACAUCGCUGAUGAAGUGACACCUUUUGACAAUAUCCUAGCAUUAUAGAACUUUUUUGUGCUUUGCCUUUAAAGAAGAAUGAUUAAGGGAACUUUUUUCACAUAUGAGAUAUAUCGUGGAGUGUAAAAACAGAAUUUUUCGGAAUUUUUUGAUGACAUCUGUCAGAGAACCGGCCCGGUGCAUGAGAGGCGUUUUUUCACUGGCGGACACGAUUUCUCAUGUUUGAAUCAUCUGAAACACAAAAACCCAAUUUAUUCUUAAAAAGUACGUGAAUUGUUAUCGUCCCUACUAGAAAAAAAUUUUAAUAAAUAAAAAAAGUAAUUUUUUUU